Molecule: ribosomal RNA, 237 nt
Filed under: uncultured Staphylococcus sp.
Lineage: Bacteria; Bacillati; Bacillota; Bacilli; Caryophanales; Staphylococcaceae
Description: partial 16S ribosomal RNA
Rfam family: Bacterial small subunit ribosomal RNA
Source: RNAcentral
CGGGUGAGUAACACGUGGAUAACCUACCUAUAAGACUGGGAUAACUUCGGGAAACCGUAGCUAAUACCGGAUAAUAUUUUGAACCGCAUGGUUCAAAAGUGAAAGACGGUCUUGCUGUCACUUAUAGAUGGAUCCGCGCUGCAUUAGCUAGUUGGUAAGGUAACGGCUUACCAAGUCAACGAUGCAUAGCCGACCUGAGAGGGUGAUCGGCCACACUGGAACUGAGACACGGUCCAG